GCCUUUAGCAACACAAGUAUUAAAGGUCCUGCCUGCCCAGUGAAAGAUUUUAACGGCCGCGGUAUUCUAACCGUGCAAAGGUAGCGUAAUCACUUGUCUUCUAAAUAAAGACCAGUAUGAACGGCUAAAUGAGGGUAAACCUGUCUCCUGCAACCAAUCAGUGAAACUGAUCUCCCCGUCCAAAAGCUGGGAUGUAAACAUAAGACGAGAAGACCCUGUGGAGCUUAAAAUCUUACACUACCAGACACCAUUGUCUAACUAGCAAAAAUUUUAAGUUGGGGCGACUUCGGAACAAAACAAAACUUCCAAGCACAGAACCAAACAUUCUAACCGAGGCAAACAAGCCGAAGCAAAGAUUGACCCAGUCACACUGAUCAACGAACCAAGUUACCCCAGGGAUAACAGCGCCAUCUUCUUCAAGAGUCCAUAUCGACAAGAAGGUUUACGACCUCGAUGUUGGAUCAGGGCACCCCAAUGGUGCACCCGCUAUUAAAGGUUCGUUUGUUCAACGAUUA
RNAcentral lists this ribosomal RNA (515 nucleotides) under Glaphyromorphus darwiniensis. RNAcentral describes it as "partial 16S ribosomal RNA". It matches the Rfam family "Bacterial large subunit ribosomal RNA", at positions 1818 to 2590 of the family's 2925-position model. The record is from RNAcentral. Lineage: Eukaryota; Metazoa; Chordata; Lepidosauria; Squamata; Scincidae.